UGGAAUGAUAAUUUCUCAGACUAGAGUCUCUGACGCUGGUCCUGAUGUCAAAAAUUAAGUUCUGACUC
Molecule: small nucleolar RNA, 68 nt
Organism: Pteropus vampyrus (large flying fox)
Lineage: Eukaryota; Metazoa; Chordata; Mammalia; Chiroptera; Pteropodidae
Source: Ensembl